This 607-nucleotide long non-coding RNA is filed under the name Helianthus annuus (common sunflower). Lineage: Eukaryota; Viridiplantae; Streptophyta; Magnoliopsida; Asterales; Asteraceae. The record is from RNAcentral.
AGGGGGCGAUCCCCACACAUCAAAACCCUAAAUCUUCACCAAACUUGCAAAUUGAAGGCUCAAUCCAAGUCAAAAUCGAAAAUCAAGCAUAGAUUAUUGAUCCCCAUUGAAAGGGGAGUCAUAAGGUAUGUAAAUUUUAUGAAAAAUCUCUAUUUGACUCUGACAAGCUAGGUAGGAGCUUGGAAAUGAACGGGUCAAAUGGAUACAAGUUCAAGUAUGAAGCUCGCAAGGAUGCAAGGUAAGUAUAACUUACACUAGUCAUAUAUUUUAGAAUGUUCUUUUGUCGUAUUGACUACGAAUAAGACAAAUGGUAAUUUAGUCACACGUUGACAAUAAUCGUUAGUUUUAAAAGACGCUUUCCCGCGUAAGACAUAAAGAGCCGAAAGUGGUAAUAAACGGUUUAUAAAUAAAAUGAGCAUACGGUGUUAAAAGGAGCGAGUCAUGUAGAUGAGAUGAUAAUAAAUAUUAUCUCGCAAAGAUAAACGGUCAAUUCGGCCAAACGGGUCAAAAGGUGUAGACAUCACCUUUUGACAAUAUCGACUAAUGAUUCUGGUGUCGAGUUAUAUGUUUACAGGAGUAGAUAUCCAAUGGAUACUCGCAUCGCUCU